GACGAACCGUGCGAACGUUAUUCGGAAUCACUGGGCUUAAAGCGCGUGUAGGCGGUCCGGCACGUCGAUGGUUGAAAGCCCCCGGCUCAACCGGGGAAUGGGCCUCGAUACGACCGGACUGGAGGGAGGUAGGGUGAUCUGGAACUUCCGGUGGAGCGGUGAAAUGCGUUUAGAUCGGAAGGAACGCCCGUUGUGAAAGCGCGGUCCUGGACCGGACCUGACGCUGAGACGCUAAAGCUAGGGGAGCAAACGGG
This 254-nucleotide ribosomal RNA is filed under the name uncultured bacterium. Its description in RNAcentral is "partial 16S ribosomal RNA". It matches the Rfam family "Bacterial small subunit ribosomal RNA", at positions 524 to 776 of the family's 1533-position model. The record is from RNAcentral.